AGAGUUUGAUCAUGGCUCAGAUUGAACGCUGGCGGCAGGCCUAACACAUGCAAGUCGAGCGGUAGAGAGGUGCUUGCACCUCUUGAGAGCGGCGGACGGGUGAGUAAUGCCUAGGAAUCUGCCUGGUAGUGGGGGAUAACGUCCGGAAACGGACGCUAAUACCGCAUACGUCCUACGGGAGAAAGCAGGGGACCUUCGGGCCUUGCGCUAUCAGAUGAGCCUAGGUCGGAUUAGCUAGUUGGUGAGGUAAAGGCUCACCAAGGCGACGAUCCGUAACUGGUCUGAGAGGAUGAUCAGUCACACUGGAACUGAGACACGGUCCAGACUCCUACGGGAGGCAGCAGUGGGGAAUAUUGGACAAUGGGCGAAAGCCUGAUCCAGCCAUGCCGCGUGUGUGAAGAAGGUCUUCGGAUUGUAAAGCACUUUCAAUGGGGAGGAACACCUGUCGGUCAAUACCCGGCAGCUUGACAUUACCCAUAGAAGAAGCACCGGCUAACUCCGUGCCAGCAGCCGCGGUAAUACGGAGGGUGCAAGCGUUAAUCGGAAUUACUGGGCGUAAAGCGUGCGUAGGUGGUUCGUUAAGUCAGAUGUGAAAGCCCUGGGCUCAACCUGGGAACGGCAUUUGAAACUGGCGGACUAGAGUUUAGUAGAGGGGAGUGGAAUUUCAGGUGUAGCGGUGAAAUGCGUAGAUAUCUGAAGGAACACCAGUGGCGAAGGCGACUCCCUGGACUAGAACUGACGCUGAGGUACGAAAGCGUGGGUAGCAAACAGGAUUAGAUACCCUGGUAGUCC
RNAcentral lists this ribosomal RNA (792 nucleotides) under uncultured bacterium. Its description in RNAcentral is "bacterial SSU rRNA". It matches the Rfam family "Bacterial small subunit ribosomal RNA", at positions 8 to 796 of the family's 1533-position model. The record is from RNAcentral.